RNAcentral lists this unclassified non-coding RNA (234 nucleotides) under plant metagenome. Its description in RNAcentral is "partial contains small subunit ribosomal RNA, internal transcribed spacer 1, and 5.8S ribosomal RNA". The record is from RNAcentral.
UUUCCGUAGGUGAACCUGCGGAAGGAUCAUUACUGAGUGAGGGCCCUCUGGGUCCAACCUCCCACCCGUGUUUAUUGUACCUUGUUGCUUCGGUGCGCCCGCCUCACGGCCGCCGGGGGGCUUCUGCCCCCGGGUCCGCGCGCACCGGAGACACCAUUGAACUCUGUCUGAAGAUUGCAGUCUGAGCAUAAACUAAAUAAAUUAAAACUUUCAACAACGGAUCUCUUGGUUCCG